This 74-nucleotide transfer RNA is filed under the name Kapaibacterium sp. (SeqCode). RNAcentral's name for it is "tRNA-Ala". It matches the Rfam family "tRNA". Rfam says of the family: Transfer RNA (tRNA) molecules are approximately 80 nucleotides in length. Their secondary structure includes four short double-helical elements and three loops (D, anti-codon, and T loops). Further hydrogen bonds mediate the characteristic L-shaped molecular structure. tRNAs have two regions of fundamental functional importance: the anti-codon, which is responsible for specific mRNA codon recognition, and the 3' end, to which the tRNAs corresponding amino acid is attached (by aminoacyl-tRNA synthetases). tRNAs cope with the degeneracy of the genetic code in two manners: having more than one tRNA (with a specific anti-codon) for a particular amino acid; and 'wobble' base-pairing, i.e. permitting non-standard base-pairing at the 3rd anti-codon position. The record is from RNAcentral. Lineage: Bacteria; Pseudomonadati; Bacteroidota; Eximiradiia; Eximiradiales; Kapaibacteriaceae (SeqCode).
GGGUCCUUAGCUCAAUUUGGGAGAGCACCAGAUUUGCAUUCUGGGGGUUAACGGUUCGAGCCCGUUAGGAUCCA